This 1003-nucleotide ribosomal RNA is filed under the name Xylaria sp. genotype 249. RNAcentral's name for it is "eukaryotic LSU rRNA". The stretch from base 419 to 1003 matches the Rfam family "Eukaryotic large subunit ribosomal RNA", at positions 1 to 596 of the family's 3401-position model. Lineage: Eukaryota; Fungi; Ascomycota; Sordariomycetes; Xylariales; Xylariaceae. The record is from RNAcentral.
GUAAAUACUGUGGAGGUCACCUAACCUUGUCUAUUUARGUUUGGUUUAUCUGUUUGUUCACCAGAUCCAACACUCUGAAUAAAAUCUUAAACUAGUUAAAACUUUCAACAACGGAUCUCUUGGUUCUGGCAUCGAUGAAGAACGCAGCGAAAUGCGAUAAGUAAUGUGAAUUGCAGAAUUCAGUGAAUCAUCGAAUCUUUGAACGCACAUUGCGCCCAUUAGUAUUCUAGUGGGCAUGCCUGUUCGAGCGUCAUUUCAACCCUUAAGCCCUUGUUGCUUAGCGUUGGGAGCCUACAGCCUGCUGUAGCUCCUUAAAGGUAGUGGCGGAGUCGGUUCACACUCUAGACGUAGUAAAAUCUUUAUCUCGCCUAUAGAUGAGCCGGCGCCUUGCCGUAAAACCCCUAAUCUUUCACAAGGUUGACCUCGGAUCAGGUAGGAAUACCCGCUGAACUUAAGCAUAUCAAUAAGCGGAGGAAAAGAAACCAACAGGGAUUGCCCUAGUAACGGCGAGUGAAGCGGCAACAGCUCAAAUUUGAAAUCUGGCCUUCGGGUCCGAGUUGUAAUUUGUAGAGGAUGCUUUGGGCGCGGUGCCUUCCGAGUUCCCUGGAACGGGACGCCUUAGAGGGUGAGAGCCCCGUACGGUUGGACAUCAAGCCUCUGUAAAGCUCCUUCGACGAGUCGAGUAGUUUGGGAAUGCUGCUCUAAAUGGGAGGUAAAUUUCUUCUAAAGCUAAAUAUUGGCCAGAGACCGAUAGCGCACAAGUAGAGUGAUCGAAAGAUGAAAAGCACUUUGAAAAGAGGGUUAAAUAGCACGUGAAAUUGUUGAAAGGGAAGCGUUUGCGACCAGACCUUUUCCCAGCGGAUCAUCCGGUGUUCUCACCGGUGCACUUCGCUGGGUUGAGGCCAGCAUCGGUUUCCGCAGGGGGAUAAAAGCCUGGGGAACGUAGCUCCCUCGGGAGUGUUAUAGCCCCUCGCAUAAUACCCUUGCGGGGACCGAGGACCGC